This 156-nucleotide ribosomal RNA is filed under the name Fomitopsis pinicola. RNAcentral's name for it is "5.8S ribosomal RNA". It matches the Rfam family "5.8S ribosomal RNA". Rfam says of the family: 5.8S ribosomal RNA (5.8S rRNA) is a component of the large subunit of the eukaryotic ribosome. It is transcribed by RNA polymerase I as part of the 45S precursor that also contains 18S and 28S rRNA. Functionally, it is thought that 5.8S rRNA may be involved in ribosome translocation. Lineage: Eukaryota; Fungi; Basidiomycota; Agaricomycetes; Polyporales; Fomitopsidaceae. The record is from RNAcentral.
ACUUUCAGCAACGGAUCUCUUGGCUCUCGCAUCGAUGAAGAACGCAGCGAAAUGCGAUAAGUAAUGUGAAUUGCAGAAUUCAGUGAAUCAUCGAAUCUUUGAACGCACCUUGCGCUCCUUGGUAUUCCGAGGAGCAUGCCUGUUUGAGUGUCAUGG